This 250-nucleotide ribosomal RNA is filed under the name uncultured Pelotomaculum sp. RNAcentral describes it as "partial 16S ribosomal RNA". It matches the Rfam family "Bacterial small subunit ribosomal RNA", at positions 1133 to 1382 of the family's 1533-position model. The record is from RNAcentral. Lineage: Bacteria; Bacillati; Bacillota; Clostridia; Eubacteriales; Desulfotomaculaceae.
GAGCACUCUAGACGAACUGCCGUUGACAAAACGGAGGAAGGUGGGGAUGACGUCAAAUCAUCAUGCCCCUUAUGUUCUGGGCUACACACGUGCUACAAUGGCCGGUACAGACGGAGGCGAAGCCGCGAGGCGGAGCAAAUCCGAAAAAGCCGGUCUCAGUUCGGAUUGCAGGCUGCAAUUCGCCUGCAUGAAGUCGGAAUCGCUAGUAAUCGCAGGUCAGCAUACUGCGGUGAAUACGUUCCCGGGCCUU